AUGGAAUCGAGCGGCCUGAGGAAGAGAGUAGCCGAUAUGAUGGAUGGGGGCAAGUACAAGCCAAAAGGCUAUGGGAUGGCCGGCCCCGGCCAGAGGCUCCCGUGUGCGCUGCUGCUGAUGCUGGUUCUCGCCGCCGCCGCGUUGAGCGUCGUCGUCACGCACAAGGUCAGGGAGCAGCGUGCCUUUGCUGUGGUUCUCAAGGAGCGCGACGUGCAGGCCGUCUCCCUCCGGAUCCAACUCCAGAAAGAGAAGGCAUACGGCAAAGAGACCAAGAGGAAGGCGGAAGAAAUGAAGGCCACAAUGUCUUCCCUGAGAACACAGAAGACAGACCUGAAAACAAAGCUCAAGGCGCUGGAAGCCACAGCCACAAUCCUCAAGAACGUGCAGAAAGAGCUCGAAGCAUCUCUCAAGGAGAGAGAGAGCCGCAUCAGCCAAAUGGAAGGGAAAGCCGCAAAUCUUCACAGCACUCGGAAAGCACUGGAAGCAACUGUGAAGGAACGAGACAACCGCAUCAAGCAAAUGCAAGAUAAAGUCACGAGUCUUGAGAAAACUCUGAAGGAACAGGAGCUGUCUCUGAAGGCGAGAGACAGCCGCAUCAGCCAACUGGAGGAGAAAACCGCCGCAGCGUCAAAUCCUGACCAGAUGGCAGCUCUCAUGGAAAUCCUGCAGCGGAAGGAAGCCGAACUCGAGGAGAUCAAGACCAGGUUCCAGGACUACAGGACUACAGACAGAAAGGUCGUAAGUAGUAAGAGCACUUCGGCACGAACAAACCCAACAACACCUGCCGUUGUAGUAGCAGCAAAGGUUACAAACUCCAGCAGGAAUAGUACUGUAGCUGCUAGAUCAGAAGAGAAGAGAGCUGGCAACACCACAGUGACAGAAAGCAAAAUUCAGAAACCGAAGACCAGAUCUUUAGAAGAAAAGCAAGCGAAGCUCGCAGUCGCAGGCAAUGCACAAGUUGAUGAUUUGCAAGAGCAAGACACUGAUUUCUUAGAUAUGGAUGAUAUUUAUGGAGGCAGCCAUACCAAGAAGUCUGAACUUGCUCGGCGGAACAAGAAGGUUUUGGCCGACCGUCAUGUCGAAAACCAAAAGUCAGGGCACCCCCUGGACCAGCAGGACAGCCAUCAUGUCAGAUAUAACAAGCUGCUUGAGAAGGAGAACAUCAAACCAGAUGAAACCAAGAAGAAGAACGGUACGGUUGGGCACUUGGAAAAGAUCCCCAAAGAUGAAACCAAGAAGAAGAACAGUACUGUUGGGCACUUGGAAAAGAUCCCCAAAGAUGAUACCAAGAAGAAGAACAGUACUGUUGGGCACUUGGAAAAGAUCUCCAAAGAUGAAACCAAGAAGAAGAACAGUACUGUUGGGCACUUGGAAAAGAUCUCCAAAGACAGCUUAAGCGACGUCAACCUAGACAGACCGAGACAAGGGGUGACUGGUGCUGCUGAUGUGCAGCCCAAGGUGCCUGUAAAUGAUGAUUUGCAGCAAAACAAGAAGCAGAAGAACAAAAAGCCCAAAUCCAAGAAGAAGGUGGUCGAUACUUCAACUUGGUGA
Molecule: ribosomal RNA, 1551 nt
Filed under: Triticum aestivum (bread wheat)
Lineage: Eukaryota; Viridiplantae; Streptophyta; Magnoliopsida; Poales; Poaceae
Description: partial small subunit ribosomal RNA
Source: RNAcentral